UUAUCUCUGUAGAGUCUGCAUAUCAAUAAGCGGAGGAAAAGAAACUAACUAGGAUUCCCUCAGUAACGGCGAGUGAAGCGGGAAGAGCUCAAAUUUGAAAUCUUCAAGGUUUUACCUUGACGAAUUGUAGUUUAAAGAAGUGUUUUCUGUUGGAGUUUUGGUAAAAGUUCUUUGGAAUAGGACAUCAUAGAGGGUGAGAAUCCCGUAUUUGACCAUUAUUUCCAGCUUUGUGAUACACUUUCAAAGAGUCGGAUUGUUUGGGAAUGCAGUCCAAAAUGGGUGGUAAAUUUCAUCUAAAGCUAAAUAUUGGCGAGAGACCGAUAGCGAACAAGUACCGUGAGGGAAAGAUGAAAAGAACUUUGAAGAGAGAGUUAAACAGUACGUGAAAUUGUCAAAAGGGAAGCGUUUGACACCAGUGUUGUUUCUACGAAAAUCAAUUUAUGAUGGCUUGAUGCUAAGCUUUAAGACUUUAUCCGCUUGUUGUUUAGUUUUCUUGUCUUUGUGAAUGCACUUUUCGUGGAACAAGUCAACAUCAAUUUCUUUUGCUGUAAAAGGGUAAGAGGAAGGUGGCUUCGGCUUCGGUUGAAGUGUUUAUAGCCUUUUAUCUCUGCAGUCGGAGAGAUUGAGGUCUGCAGCGUAGACUCUUCGGGGUUAGAUACGUCGGUGCUAAGCUAUAGCUUUUCAUAGACAACUUGUUGACUAUGUUUAGUCAUGUGGCUUACCCGCUGGCCCUAUUUUACCUACGCUUAGGAUGUUGAGUCAUCACACAUCUCU
Molecule: ribosomal RNA, 774 nt
Filed under: uncultured Neocallimastigales
Lineage: Eukaryota; Fungi; Neocallimastigomycota; Neocallimastigomycetes; Neocallimastigales
Description: partial large subunit ribosomal RNA
Rfam family: Eukaryotic large subunit ribosomal RNA
Source: RNAcentral